CCCUUAGAUGUUCUGGGCCGCACGCGCGCUACACUGAUGCAUUCAACGAGUUUCUUCCUGGUCCGAGAGGAAUGGGUAACCUUUUGAAAGUGCAUCGUGAUAGGGAUAGACUAUUGCAAUUAUUGGUCUUCAACGAGGAAUUCCUAGUAGACGUAGUUCAUCAGACUGCAUCGAUUACGUACCUGCCCUUUGUACACACCGCCCGUCGCUCCUACCGAUUGAAUGCUCAGGUGAGCCAUUCGGACUUUCAUCAUGCUGGUUUCCAGUUUUGAUGAAGGAAAGUCUUGCGAACCUUAUCAUUUAGAGGAAGGAGAAGUCGUAACA
RNAcentral lists this ribosomal RNA (324 nucleotides) under uncultured eukaryote. RNAcentral describes it as "partial 18S ribosomal RNA". It matches the Rfam family "Eukaryotic small subunit ribosomal RNA", at positions 1470 to 1796 of the family's 1831-position model. The record is from RNAcentral.